Molecule: ribosomal RNA, 253 nt
Filed under: uncultured bacterium
Lineage: Bacteria
Description: partial 16S ribosomal RNA
Rfam family: Bacterial small subunit ribosomal RNA
Source: RNAcentral
UACGAAGGGUGCAAACGUUGCUCGGGAUCAUUGGGCGUAAAGCGCACGUAGGCGGCUUUGCAAGUCUGACGUGAAAUCCCUCAGCUCAACUGAGGAAGUGCAUCGGAAACUGCAAGGCUUGAGUACUGAAGAGGAUCGCGGAAUUCCCGGGGUAGAGGUGAAAUUCGUAGAUAUCGGGAGGAACACCAGUGGCGAAGGCGGCGAUCUGGGCAGAUACUGACGCUGAGGUGCGAAAGCGUGGGGAGCAAACAGG